RNAcentral lists this transfer RNA (64 nucleotides) under Rhinebothroides sp. MZUSP 8013. Its description in RNAcentral is "tRNA-Thr". Lineage: Eukaryota; Metazoa; Platyhelminthes; Cestoda; Rhinebothriidea; Rhinebothriidae. The record is from RNAcentral. RNAcentral also lists the same sequence under 3 other names.
GACUUUUUAGUUUAAAAAAAAUAUGGGUUUUGUAAACCUAAGAUAAUAUUUUUAUUAUUAGUCU